UACGAAGGGGGCUAGCGUUGCUCGGAAUUACUGGGCGUAAAGCGCACGUAGGCGGCUUCUUAAGUCGGUGGUGAAAUCCUGGAGCUCAACUCCAGAACUGCCUCGAUACUGGGAGCUCGAGUCCGGGAGAGGUGAGUGGGAACUGCGAGUGUAGAGGUGAAAUUCGUAGAUAUUCGCAAGAACACCAGUGGCGAAGGCGGCUCACUGGCCCGGUACUGACGCUGAGGUGCGAAAGCGUGGGGAGCAACAGG
Molecule: ribosomal RNA, 251 nt
Filed under: uncultured bacterium
Lineage: Bacteria
Description: partial 16S ribosomal RNA
Rfam family: Bacterial small subunit ribosomal RNA
Source: RNAcentral